Molecule: ribosomal RNA, 492 nt
Filed under: uncultured bacterium
Lineage: Bacteria
Description: partial 16S ribosomal RNA
Rfam family: Bacterial small subunit ribosomal RNA
Source: RNAcentral
AGUGAACGCUGGCGGUAGGCCUAACACAUGCAAGUCGAACGGCAGCACAGUAAGAGCUUGCUCUUACGGGUGGCGAGUGGCGGACGGGUGAGGAAUACAUCGGAAUCUACUUUUUCGUGGGGGAUAACGUAGGGAAACUUACGCUAAUACCGCAUACGACCUACGGGUGAAAGCAGUGGAUCUUCGGACCUUGCGCGAUUGAAUGAGCCGAUGUCGGAUUAGCUAGUUGGCGGGGUAAAGGCCCACCAAGGCGACGAUCCGUAGCUGGUCUGAGAGGAUGAUCAGCCACACUGGAACUGAGACACGGUCCAGACUCCUACGGGAGGCAGCAGUGGGGAAUAUUGGACAAUGGGCGCAAGCCUGAUCCGGCCAUACCGCGUGGGUGAAGAAGGCCUUCGGGUUGUAAAGCCCUUUUGUUAGGAAAGAAAAGCAGCAGGUUAAUACCCCGCCGUUCUGACGGUACCCAAAGAAUAAGCACCGGCUAACUUCGUG